UCCCAUAGGGUGGAAGCAAGCCUGAUCAAUCCAUGGUGAGGGAGGAAGGCAUCCAAUCUGUUCGCUUCUUUUUUCAGGGAAGAAGAUCAGGCGCAACAUGAGGAAUAGGCCCCGGGGAAUACUGUGCCACCACACCCGUAUAAAUGGGGGGGGCGAGCGUUUUCUUGAAAAAUAGUGGGUAAAGAGUGCGCAGGGGGCCAUACAAGUGUGGUGUUAAAAUCGCGACUUAACUCCAUCGAGGCACAUGAAAAAGUUGCGGUCGAGAGUGGUAGAGACAGAGGGAAAACCCCAAGUGGCGGGGAAAAGCUUGGAUAUCGGGAGGAGCACCACAGGGGAAGGGGCUGUGCAGGGCCAUCAUAGAGGCUCAGGGGUGAAAGCCAGGGGGGAGAAAGCGGGAAGAGACCCCUGUAUUCUAGGCAGUGAACGAGGCACACUCCAAGGGAGGGGAAUUACAAUCUAAGGAGUGGCGCAAAUUCAAAUGAAUGAC
RNAcentral lists this ribosomal RNA (487 nucleotides) under uncultured bacterium. RNAcentral describes it as "partial 16S ribosomal RNA". The stretch from base 1 to 438 matches the Rfam family "Bacterial small subunit ribosomal RNA", at positions 359 to 873 of the family's 1533-position model. The record is from RNAcentral.